Molecule: long non-coding RNA, 1468 nt
Filed under: Mus musculus (house mouse)
Lineage: Eukaryota; Metazoa; Chordata; Mammalia; Rodentia; Muridae
Description: long non-coding RNA chr5:108107749-108109217
Source: RNAcentral
GUUUAGUGUGUACUGAAGAAGGGUGUGAACAACAGUGUACAUGGGCUUUUAGAGGGCUUUUCAGUCCUUGUAACUCAGCUGUUGAAUACCUAAAACAAAUUCGAGUGAUAACUACAUUAUUUCCUAUUAGAAGUGACGUUUUCAAGUGAUUGUGGCACAUUAUGAUUGUAAAUGUCUCAGUUUUAACAGCAAGUCUGUGGGAGCCCAGUGAAGACUCCUGAAAUGUCUGUAGUAACUGUUAGUCAUGUUUGAGUAAGCGUAGUAUGAACAAAGUCUUUUAUUGCACAGGGUUAACAAACAGUAUGUUGCUAGCUGAGGCUAACUGCUGUUUUAUUACAACAUUACCUCUUGUUUUUAUAAAAUGUACCAAGAUUUUAAAUUGAUAUCUUUAUUUUACGUGUUAAAAAAAAGUUUCUUUUAUCACCAGUGUUAGAGUUGUCUUCUGUUUUUUUGGUUUGUUUUGGUUUGGUUUUUUUCUUGUUGUUUUCUUUCUUAGCCAAAGAGUAAACAGAAGAAUAUUAUUUUGGUAGCUCUUCAUUUUACUUUUAUAAUGAUUGGUGGAUUUUAGACUAAAAAUUGGGGAAAUUUCUGCCAAAAUGAAAAAAUAUGUGACGUGUAUUGAUGACAGAAUGCUAAAAUUGUGGUUAGUGCUUAUUUAUUCCAUUAAUUGAUUAUUUGCCUGUUUUUAAAGAAACAUGCUUUAUUUCCUUAAGCAUCUUCAAAAGAUGACUUUUCUUGUCACAUUGUAGCCAAAAGAAGCAGAGAAUUUCUUGUCCUGCUUUUGGUUCCUGGUUAACCAGGUAUAAUGAGCUUUACAAAGUGCAAAUUACAAACUGUCACUUCUGUUCACCUCCACCAAAACUUGAUUUCCCCUAGCUAUUAAUUUAAAGUUGCCUUUCCUGCAGCUGCAAUAUUUUGAAUAACACAGAGAUUGUGUUAAUUUUUGAAUGUUUGUUUAUAUCUAGGGGUAAUGGAAAAUGUAAUUCCCGUGUAACCUUAUUCACUCCAGCUGUAUCAUAUUUCAUUUUUCCCAAAGUUCUUUAAUUUUAACUGAACACCAGCAGUAUUUUUAGUAAUUCUUUAAGAUACUUGGAAGACAAUUUAUCAAGCUGAACUGUCUCUAGACUUAAUUAUUGUGAAUGUCUGUUUUCUUUUAUCAUGGUGGUUCACAUGGCUCUGAUGUUCAGUUUGUAUUUUUGAAAUUGCUUUACUUAGAAUUAAAACAGACCAACAUUAAAUGUGUGUAUUUUUAAAAGAGCUAAUGAGUUUUUCUUCUGUAUCUGCUUGAAAAUACACACUGGUGCAGCAGUUAACUGCUUUUAUUUAGCUAGGGAGGAGGAAUUUUCCAAUUCUUUUAUAUACUUGAAUUAGUCUUGAAGAACUUUGCUUCCAUUUCCUUUUGUCAUAAUGAUAAUAGUGUAUGUUCACUGUGAGUGAUCUUUUAAAAAAGGAUUACAUGCUUUGUAUU